This 440-nucleotide ribosomal RNA is filed under the name uncultured bacterium. Its description in RNAcentral is "partial 16S ribosomal RNA". It matches the Rfam family "Bacterial small subunit ribosomal RNA", at positions 338 to 795 of the family's 1533-position model. The record is from RNAcentral.
CCUACGGGUGGCUGCAGUGGGGGAUAUUGCACAAUGGGGGAAACCCUGAUGCAGCGACGCCGCGUGGGGGAAGAAGCGCCUCGGCGCGUAAAGCCCUGUCAGCAGGGAAGAAAAGGACGGUACCUGAAGAAGAAGCCCCGGCUAAAUACGUGCAGGCAGCCGCGGGAAUACGUAGGGGGCAAGCGUUAUCCGGAGUUACUGGGUGUAAAGGGGGCGCAGACGGCGAUGCAAGUGAGGAGUGAAAGUCCGGGGCCCAACCCCGGGACUGCUCUUGGAACUGCGUGGCUAGAGUGCAGGAGGGGCAGGCGGAAUGCCUGGUGUAGCGGUGAAAUGCGUAGAUAUCAGGAGGAACACCGGUGGCGAAGGCGGCCUGCUGGACUGCAACUGACGUUGAGGCCCGAAAGCGUGGGGAGCAAACAGGAUUAGAUACCCUAGUAGUC